Molecule: long non-coding RNA, 3961 nt
Filed under: Homo sapiens (human)
Lineage: Eukaryota; Metazoa; Chordata; Mammalia; Primates; Hominidae
Description: HSALNT0363576
Source: RNAcentral
UCCAAUACAUUGUGGCUGAAUCCACUUCAAGUUGGGGUUUUUUUGGGGGUUUUUUUUGGUUGGGUUUUUUUUUUUUUUUUUGCCUCUCACAAAGGAGAAUCCCAGAUACCUAGAGGCCAGAGGUCCAGGGCGAUGGGUGGGCUGUGUCGGGGCCCGGCCCAGCCUGGCCUUCCGACAGCAUCCAGGCAGGCCCUCUUUCCCUCCACCGUCUUGGAUGGGCUUAAUUUAUUGUAGGAAACCCUUGAAGGCGCAGGAGCUUUUGGAGAGCCGGGGACAAUAGGCAUAAAGCAUGCAUUUAAGCCGUCUGAAUGGAGGCUAGAUUUACUGUCUGGGCCAGACGGGAUUUUUGUCCCCAAGUCAUCUCGGAGUACAUUGGCCACUAAAGAUCUCAACAGAAGACGAAGACGGAACAAAAGAAGUAAAUUUUAAAAGGAACUUUGUCAAGGAGUUUUAGAUGUUCACCAGAUAGAAAACCGCGGCUGCCCUCACCGAAAUGACUUUUGGAUUUGCCCAGUGGUUAUGGAUCAGAGGAAGAUGCUAAUGAAGUCGUUUAAAUGCACGUUUGAUGGACCCCAGAGAAUGGGACCAAUUUCAUACAAGCCCACAGCAAGGUUAAGGAAUGAAAGAAGGUGGCCGUUAGAGUUGCUGCCGGGGACAAGGCUCCAUUGUCGGGGCUGCCUUUUUCAGCCGUGAAGCGUGAAGCGUGUUUUGAACUACAGUGUUUACCAACGUGUACAUCCUAGUCUGGCCGACCGGGCCUGCAGAAUUUAUGACCAGGAACAAACCUCUUAGAGGGGAAAAGAAAACAGCUCUUACCAGCUGGGAAAGGAGCUCAGAUCAUGCCCUGGAGAAGCAGGUGACAUCGCGGAAUUUUCCUGUUCCAGAUGCCAGAAGUCUGAAAUGAAGGUGUAAAGCAGGGUGGUUCCUUCUGGAGGCUCUGAGAGAAUCACCCCAGGCCUCUCUCCAGCUUCUGGUGCUGGUAUUCUCAGGCUUUGCUGGCUUGUGUUUGACACCAUGCCUGACACAUUGGGGGUGCUCAGUAGACCUGUGUGAGAUGGACAGCCUCCCGUACAGAUGGACGGACAGAUGUACAGGUAGGUGAAUGAACUUUCGUUGCCCCUAAAGCAGGAGAGACUCUGAGUUUCUGAGACAACGGCCAAGAACUUUCUGAUAAGAUCUCUGCAUUUAAGGUUCAGAAAAACUCGAUGAGGACAAUAUUUUUCUCCCGAUUUUGCAGAUAAGAAAAUAGAGGCAUAGAGAAGUCACUUGCUAGUAAAUGUUAGAGGCAGCUUUCUAACCCAGGUCCAUGUGAACCCAGAAAAAGAGGCAGUGAGCACCUGUUCACCCAGGAGCAGCUCUCAGAAGAUAAGAUAAUACGAGGAGGAGGCAGCAGACCCCUAUGCCACGCGUCCACCUGGGGCUGUCCAUCACUUCCUGCAAGAUCUUGCUGGUAGCCAGAUUCUCAGAGACCCCCAGUGAGCCCCGCCUCCUGGUUUUCACACCCUGUGUAGUUUCCUUUCCCCAGGGAUGGUCCAAGUGACCAGCAGCCCGUGGCAGAAGUGAUGGAAUAGCACUUCCAAGCUUAGGUUAUGAAAGAUUGCAGCUUCAAUCUCCUGCCCCACACCCCGUCUCUCUCUCUAACCCCACUCCCUCCCUCCCUCUCUCAUCUCUGACUCUGGGGGAAGCACACUGCAGCCCCGUGGAGAUGCCCUGUGUAAGCCACUGAAGCCUCUGGCCAACAGCAGUGGGAACCUGAGACGUGUCCACAAGCAUGCAUGGGAGCUUGGAAGUGGAUCCUUCAGCCCCAGCCAAGCCUUCAGACGAUGCAGCCUCAGGGACAGUAUGACUGCAGCCUCAUGAGACCCUGAGCCAGAAACACCCCUCCAAGCCACUCCCAGAUGCCUGGCCCUCAGAACCUGGGAGGUAAUAAAUAUUUAUGGCUGUUUGAAGCUGCUGUAUCGGGGGACAAUUUGUUACACAGUAAUAGCUAACUGGUGCAGUCCUGGGACUCUUAGCAGUUUGGAGUAUCAGUUAUUUUGCCAAGGCGGGGAAGUUAACAGUGGUCAUUGCAGCAGCUGCACUUGGGGACCACAAUAAAGAAGCUUUCUCAGACUGGUUUGAACAAAGUGGUGAAUUCUCUGCAAGGACACAGAGGUGUCUCUCAAAACCCAAGGAUGGGACAGCAGGCCUCAAGAAGAACUGGAACCUCUGUCCCUUCUGUGCUUCUUUUUACUCCUGUGUUCUCUGCUUCUUGGAGCACUUGGCAGUUGGGAAGUGGCCAUUUCAAUUCUCGUGGUCAAGAAACCAGCUCAGAAAUAACCCAACCAACACAGGUGGGGUCAGGUGUCCAUCCUGGCUCCAUUUGUCAUGGCGGGAGAUGGUGAUGAAGAGAAACAUCCAGGACCAUUGGUAGGGCACCCGAAUGAGAUUCCAGGAGAGGCCAGUUCUAAGAGAAGGGUACUAGAAAGAUACCCAUUGAAGUCAAUACCACAUGUGGCACAUCCUCCUUUCAGGUGGCAAGUGUGUAGCCAAAGCAAGGUUCAGGGUCCAUAUUUGAAAGUCAGAAACUGAAUAAACUGUUUUCUCCCACCCCGAGCACUGUGGGGAACUCUGCUCACAAAUCCACCAUCCACCAUCACCAGCCGUGCUCAUCUGACCAUUCAUGCAGGCUCACACUUGACCUGAUGUGGGUUCUGUCUCCUUUGCUUGAGAAUUGAAAGGCCUGGGAGAUGCAAAAGCUUUAGGCUCCAGCCAUCUCCCCAUGUCAGGUAGGCCUUUUGCCUAGUGUAUCCAGUUGGUAAUGCUGCAGAGAUGCAUGAAGCUGGAGUCAGAGGCCACCUGUAGUGCUGCCCUGACUUCAGACCUGAGCCCAGCCCAGCAGCAGAGAGGGGGCUGGGAGCCAGAGGAGGCCUCACAGUAACAGCACAGACAGGUGGGGGCCCACAACAGGCCACAUGUGUUCAAACUCGAGUGUGGGCAGAGGAGCAUGGGAAGCUCAGAGCCCUGAGCUCACCCCACACCCAACACGAGUGGGGUCACCCAAAAUCAGCCUGUCAGCACUGUCCCAGCAGCCAGUCGCAUGCUACAUUAACAAAUUUUGCACAGGCCAGCAAGCAGGAUCGCUCACCAGCCACCCUCCUGAACUGGCCUAUGGGGCCCCAGGAUGAUGCCAUAGCCACAAGUCUGGAGUUCCUCAAAGUACCUGGUCAGCACAACUCAGUUAAACAAUGGGCAAAAGACCUGAACAGACACUUCGCCAGAGAAGAUGUACAGAUGCAAGUAAGCAUUUGAAAAGGUGCCCCACAUCGUAUGUCGUUAGGGAAUGGUCCAAUCCAGAACACUGAUGGCACCAAAGGCUGCUGAGCAUGUGGAGCAGCAGAACUCUCAUUCACUGCUGGUGAGAAAAAUGGCGCAGCCCCAAUAGGGAACCCUAAUGCAGACUCUGGACUUCACUGGAAAUGACGUGUCAGUGUAGCUGCGUCAGUUGUAACAAAUGCACCAGUCUGGUGGGCGUGUUGAUAACCGGGGCUGCGCACGUGGGGAGAGAGGACCUGUGGGAAUGCUCUACUUUCCACUCAUUUUUGCUGUGAACUUAAAACUGCUCUUACAAAAUAACAUUGUUUGUUGUUGUUGUUGUUGUUGUUGUUGUUGUUGUUUUUAAGUAUCUAGUCAGCUCCACACAUGACCCGGGCAGAGUGGGAAGUUGUAGAGUGCCCCAAGGAGAGAAAUGGAACCAGGUCUCAUGUGGGGCCAAGUGUGGGCUCCCUGUCCUCUCAGCUGGUCCCAGGAACUGAAGGGAAAUUUAGACAACUUGGAGAAAGACACUCUAGGGCUCGGGGCAAAGGGUGGUGUUGAUGAGAACCAUAUUUUUUUAUUGCUGGUGUAAGCACUUGUAUUUUUCUGAUUUUCCACUGGUUCGAUAAUAAGGGUAAAAGACAAUAAAGCAUACUUUUUAAGCUUU